UCUGCGGUUGUUGAACUCCAGUAAGAAGUCUAUUUUAUUCACUUUAAAUGAAGUGAUUCUCUUUAAUGUAGUUGAUGCUGAUUCAUUAAUAAAUUGGUUGUUGCAAAAAAUGCUGAUUACCGAUGUAUUUUACCAUGAAUCUGCUAUGUUUAUGAUUAAAACGUUACUUAGUUAGUAAACGUUAGCUUGUUAUAUAGGACGUCACAAACUGCAACUUUUUUAGGCGACAUGGCAUGAUCUGAACAUUAACGGUAACAACCACCGAUUCUGCCAUGCAGGUCCCGUGUCACACACAGCCGCGAACAUACCGGUUACAAUUUUGUGACGUUGGCACUAUAUUUAGCGUCCACAAAAGCUGUGCAGCUUUUAUUCAGGAGGAUGUUUUCUCAGCUUCUAUUUUAUGCAGUAUGUGCGCGGCGGAUAAGCUAAACAUUCAGUUUACUGAAACUGAUUCAUCAACGAGCACAACAAAGAAUUUAAGCAUCUGUCACUGUUUCUGACGGUUUAUUUGGCUAAACUAACAUGAAUAAAGUUUGUUGGAGGAGGCAGUGCACUACAGGGGAAAAUAACCACCACUCAUUAAUGUCGACGGUUGUCCUUGGCCGAUUGAAUUGCGAGUGCUUCAUGUACGCCUCCAGAAUGGGCUGGCUAAAGACCUUCGAUUCGCCCAUCACACCAUCAUAAAGUUGCAGAAUAACAGCUAAUAUUAAUGGAUCAUUCUAUUCAAGAGAAUGUCAACUGGAACUUGGAUGUGUGCUUAACAGGCUUAAAGAUGAACAAAUUUAUAAUGAUGAACAUCUAUAAUGAUGUUCAUCAUUAUAGAUGAACAUCUUUAUAGAUGAAAACCCUCCUGCUGAACAACGGUUUCCAAAAGUGCACACCACACUGUUGUCUACAACUCCCAGGAAGAGAAUCCUCUUCAGUAAGACUGCUGCAUGGAUAUGUCAGGUUAAGCAGUGCUGAAACCGAAAGAACUAACACUCUUUAAAAUGUUUUGUGAGUUUAUAUGAAGAGGAUAGUUACGGUGUCCCUUUUUCACAUCCAUAACGCUUGUUUAUUUGUUUUUUUAUAGAAAACUUGUGCAUAGACUUAUAUUUUAUCAUAUAAAUGCGGUUCUAUCAACAAGGGUUUAGUAAAAUACUUUUUAUAGUGUUUUGAAGUGUUAAGUUGUCUAACUAUUUAUAUUUACUUGUGCCACUUUAAUAACCUUGUUAAAUGUAUAUGUUAAAAUCUAAACUAAUGUAAUUUAUUGAAGUUA
Long non-coding RNA from Triplophysa dalaica, 1258 nucleotides. RefSeq lists it as uncharacterized. Lineage: Eukaryota; Metazoa; Chordata; Actinopteri; Cypriniformes; Nemacheilidae. The record is from RefSeq and is a predicted model, not a curated record. The transcript is spliced from 4 exons.